CUCACGCUCCGAUUCGGUAAUUGGAUUCCUCGACAAAACACUGAUAGAGCUGCCGUUGAAUUCACCUUUCGUAAACCCGAUGUCCAAGUACGCCAUCAGAGUCAAAACGUCUUUGCCUGUCGACACCCAGAGGCCUUGAGCGUUCCCUAUGACCUCUGAUGUUAUGUCGGGGCCAACGGUGAGUGGAUCAUCGAAAGCUAUCACGCCGCCGAAGCCCGUCGAGGUGGUGGUGUUUGGACUGACUAUGGGGACUGCACUAGGAUUGUUGCCGCUCCUAGUGUCGUGUAAAAAGAAGUGGAGAUAGGUUACUUUUUGGGGAGGUGGAACGUAUGGUCCGGCAUGGGAGUAAUAAUCUUGGCAACGAGCUACUGCCAUGGCGGUGCUGAGACUCAAAAUCCAGGCUAAUAUCAUAUUUCUCUCCAUUGGUAAUGGUCAAUGGGAUUUCACUCUUGUGUAUAUUGUAUUAUGGCACCUAAUUCAUAGGUUCCUAAGUUUAUAUAGAAAGAUAAAAUAAAACAAAACAAAUAUUUAUAUUUAUAUUUUUAUCAUUUUAAUUUUUUAAUUAAAUUUAAUCAUUAAUCUUUUAAAAAAUAAGAUAGUUUUCUUUUAUCAAAAAUACUAAUUAAAACAUUAAUUUUUUAAUCAUGUCAGCAUGAUAACCAACAUAAUAGUUCACGUAUAUUUAUCCUAAUAUGAUACUAUUGUUCUAAUGAAUAAAAAUUUUAAAAUUCAAAACAAAUAUAAAAAAGUUAAAAAAAUUAGCAUGAUGUACGCGUUGAUUACCAUAUGACUGUUAUAUUUAAAUAUUAAACAAUUUAGUAAGUAUUUAUGUUUAAAAAAAAGUAAUUAGAUUUAAUGGUCAAAUUAAACUCGUUUUAAAAGGUUUAGGAUCAAAUUUAAUUAAAAGAGGAUCAAAAUUGAUAAAAGAAUAUAAAUAUUAAAAAGUCUAUAGGCCCUUCCGUUGGGUUAAUUAAGAUUCAGUAAUACUAAUGUAUUUGUGCUAUGUACAAAAAUACAAUUAUAAUAUUAUUGGUGGCAAAAAAAAAAGAUAAUACUAAUGUAUUUUAUAUAAAAUUAAUAUAAAAUAGAUAAGUAAAAUUUAGGAUAAAUUCAUAAAUCUAUCAAUUUUGAAAAUAAAAUAACUUCAAUUUAUGAGAAAUAAGAAUAAUUAACAAAUUAUACUUCUAACUCAAACCAAUCCGUACAAUGCUAAGGCUGGUAGCUUUUGGUUAUAUUGCUUAAAAGCUUUCGCAUUCUUAAUCUGCAUAAAACAACGAAGGAUGAGAAGACUAUCAUAUCCUGCUUGAUGGCUUAAUCCAGCAACACGAGCCACGUUUAAAGUUUUUGCCACCUUUUCUAGUCCACCGUGUAAGUUAAAGAUCUUGAAACUGUACUUGAUGUCAAAAAUCAUACAACCAAAGUAAUAAGUCAAAUGUCGCAUGAAAGACUUGAGAUCAGGCGGUAAUAGAUUUUGAGUCAAAAUCUUCAAAAAAAACCCAAAAUCAUAAGCGCUGUGAAAAGUUACCAAAGUCAAUUCACUGAAACCCAACCCGGAAAUCAGAACCAUCAUGCCAAAAUCUCUUGAACAGAUGCCUUUUUCCUUAUUCCUUGUAAAAUCUAUACCUUGUCGUUUAAGCAACUCAAUAGACUCUUUAUCGUAAUGAUCUUUUUCAAUAUCAAAAUCUUUAAAAUUAAACUCCCAUAUAUAACAAAAAGGAGUUCCGAAAUCUGGCAAAUUACCUUCAGAAUCAGAGAGUGUUAAACUGAGUUGAAUGAUCUUCAAAGCAUCGACAUUAACUUUCAUGAACCUGUAAUUGACUUCGGGAUUUCCUAAUUGAACAAAUCUUUUGUCCGGUUUAAAAAUUGUACCAGGAAAUUCGGUAUCCAUAGAAACAAACGAAUAGUUGUGGAGUGCACUUUGAAUUAACAUAAACUCGUAUUCCAAAUUAUCAGCAAAUACUUCCCUAACAAUCACUGGUUUGUUGACAAAAAUCGACAUUUUUUUUUCUUGACUUAUACUUUAAACUGAAACUAUUGAACUCUAGAUAUACUUUUCGUGAUCUUAAGUCAGUUCUAACUAAGAUAUAUAUAUAAAUAUAAUUUUCAUAAUCCUAAUUCAAUUCUAACUAAUAUAAUUUUCGUAAUCCUAAUUAAGUUCUAAGAUAGUGUAUUAAUAUAAGGAGGGUACUCUGUUAUAUAUAAUUUCUUAAUUUAAUUUUUUUACUAAAUUCGUUUUAGGAAAGGAAAAAGAAAAACUUGUGGAUUUUACUAAUUUGCCCUUGAAAGUUACUGCAAGUUAUAUGUUUUGAUGGGUGAGAUUUAGGUUUAAGGUUUAGUGUUUACAUUUUUAAGUUUAUGUUUUAUUAUUAAUAAUAAUAUAAAAGGUGUCACAAUUAUAUAUUUCAAAAAAUAUAAUUUAAUAUUUAGUUACACAUUUAAAAAUAAUUAUAAUUUAAUUAACCCCCAAGGCGGAAUGAUCAGUAUCGAAAAUAUCCCAUUGGUCGCGAAAACACGCGGACCUUAGGCCGGGUAGGGUCGGUCGGAUCGGGUUGUAUCAAAACGGCGCCGUUUUAGCAUCGGAAAUUAAAAUUCAAAACGAUGCCGUUUUACAACUCCUAUUUAAGUAAAAAAAUUUUAAAAAAUAUCAUUUCAGCCUUCAUUUAAAAAAAAACCGAAACCUUCGUUUUUUUUCUCAAAGCUAUCUCAGGCCGGUCAUAGCUCCGGCGAUCACCGUCGUACCGGCCACCUGUCACCGGCGAGAGCUCCGCCAUACACUGAGCCUUUAGUUUUUAUUUAUUUAUUUGGGCUUGUUAUUAUUAUUAAUUUUUAUUUUAUUUCUUGGUUUAUUUUUUGAUGGGCCGGGCAAAAAUGUCCCAUUUCAGAGUAGAAGGUUAUUGUUCUCCCUUCAAUCCUAAUUUAGUCAAAAACAGUCUAUAGCCUACGUCUAACUUGGAAUUUUCUUGAAUGCUUUUGGGUUUUUGUAAGUUUAGUUUGUAGUUGAUAUUUUGAGACCUCAAAUGAUGAAUUUAGGUACUGCAAAGUUAAACAUCCGUAACCAUACCAAAUUCUUAGGUCAUCUUUAAGGUCAGAUAUAACCAAUGUAUUCUAUAUUUAUGGAUGAACAGAUGUGUUUUUGCUGUUACAAAAUGGCGUAAACCUCUUGGUUUGAAGCUCCCUUUUCUCACCUGUAUUGGCUUCCUUUAGUGUCAUAUAUCCGACUACCCAAAUUGCAUUAUAUGCCUCUCGAGAACACACAGCACAGGCAGGAAAGUUAGAUCAGCUGAAAUCAGGCUGCAAAAUAACUUCUAAAAAUGGGUUAACUUUUAAAUAUUAUAACAAUUAAGUCCCUUAAGUCUGACACGUUUCAAACCUAACGAAAGCAACAGGGGGCCAACAUUAUUGGUGGAAUAAACAAUCACUCCUAAUCCAUAGAAGAAGAAAAAAAAAACUAGCAAGAUAAUCAUCUUAAUAAUGAAUUACAGUCACAUUAUACUCAACAAUGGCGUCGCCAGUCUUGAAAUUUACGGAAUAAGUCUUGAGUUGUGCAUACCCUUUCGCCAUCCUGAACUUCCCUUUCCCUCCGACCACCGCAAGCUCACGCUCCGAUUCGGUAAUUGGAUUCCUCGACAAAACACUGAUAGAGCUGCCGUUGAAUUCACCUUUCGUAAACCCGAUGUCCAAGUACGCCAUCAGAGUCAAAACGUCUUUGCCUGUCGACACCCAGAGGCCUUGAGCGUUCCCUAUGACCUCUGAUGUUAUGUCGGGGCCAACGGUGAGUGGAUCAUCGAAAGCUAUCACGCCGCCGAACCCCGUCGAGGUGGUGAUGUUUGGACUGACUAUGGGGAUUGCACUAGGGUUGUUGCCGCUCAUAGUGUCGUGUAAAAAGAAGUGGAGAUAGGUUACUUUUUGUGGAGGCGGAACAUAUGGUCCGGCAUGGGAGUAAAAAUCUUGGCAACGAGCUACUGCCAUGGCGGUGCUGAGAAUCAAAAUCCAGGCUAAUAUCAUAUUUUUC
RNAcentral lists this long non-coding RNA (4012 nucleotides) under Gossypium barbadense (sea-island cotton). Its description in RNAcentral is "long non-coding RNA (GBAR_LNC015840)". Lineage: Eukaryota; Viridiplantae; Streptophyta; Magnoliopsida; Malvales; Malvaceae. The record is from RNAcentral.